RNAcentral lists this long non-coding RNA (1967 nucleotides) under Mus musculus (house mouse). Its description in RNAcentral is "long non-coding RNA chr3:132767406-132769373". The record is from RNAcentral. Lineage: Eukaryota; Metazoa; Chordata; Mammalia; Rodentia; Muridae.
GAAUAUAAUGCUCUAAAUAUUAAGUAGUUCUUCCUUCUCCCAAAACAUGAACGCUUGUUGCUCUCUUCGAGUUGUUCAAUUUAGACACGAUCUGUGGAUCUGAAGAGGAGUGUAUGAUGGGGACAAGUAAUGCAAAAACCUUAUCUGUACCACCAAUAGUGUCACCAACAUCUAGAACAAAACGACAAGGCAAGAGUUGAGUUCUGUCUGGAAAACAUCCGGGAAUGCUUAGCGCUGAGAAAACUCACCUGCUUGGUUUCAGCGGCUUCAAGCAGGGAAGCAACCAAAGCAUGGAAAUUGGCUGUAAGGACACCUUGCUCCCUGUCUGAGAUACCUAUGCUUAUUAAUUUAACACAUACUUAGCAAACUUUCCUCUCUGGCAGGCCUCGCAUCAUGCAGUUGGGACAUAGAAAUAAAUCAGAUGCCUUACUUACCACUGUGUACAGCAUAGUUAGAAAGCAUGGAACUGAGAAAAGAGCACAGGAUGUGAAGCCUCACAGUGCCCUAAUGCAGGAAGGAGGCAGAUAACGUGACAAGACGAGAGGGCUGAGGUCCCUGUGUGGUGGGGACACUGGCACUGUGCUGGUUAGGGGCAUUGCAUGGGGUGCUGAGGAACUUGGCCAUGCUUUGUAUAUGAUCUGAAAGUGGUAAAAGGGAGAGGUAUAGUAUAUUAUGUGCAUUCUAGGAAAAUCAUUCAAGCUAUGGUAUGAACCUUCAAAAUUCUGUUCACUAAGAAAUGAGAAGAGAGUUAUCCAAGAAUAUAUUCAGAAAUAUAGUAAAAGAGUUUUUAUUGAAGAGCUCUUUACCAAAAUACACUUCAUGGCAAAGUCUUGAGUGCCUUAAGAUGACCGCUUUCUCGAAUACUGUGUCUCUUCCUUGCUCAUGCACCUUGUAUUACACACAUCCUCCUUACACGCAGUCCUUAAAUAUGGGACGCUGGGCUCCUGGCAGGUCCUGGGUCUUUGGAAGACCUAGAAUCUAUAUCAUAUUGUAAAUAUUAAUUUUAAUUAUUCUUCAUUUAAAGCAAUAGUUAUCAAUCCUCCUAAUGAUGAAACCCUUUAAUAUCAUUGUAGUGACCCCCAACUUCAAAAUUAUUUUUGUUGCUUCUUCAUGACUGUAAUUUUGAUACUGUUAUGAAUCACAUAAGUAUAUGUGGUUUCUGAGGGUCUUAGGUGACCCUGUGAAAAGGUCAUUUGACACCCAGAGGGCUUUCCACCCACAUGCUGAGAACUGCUGAUCUAAAGGCAUUAGAUCAUGAUAAAGAUACUAUCAACCUGAGGGUCUGACGCAGUUUUCUGUUUAAAGGGUACUUCAUGGUGUGCAAUGUUUGUUUUGUUUGUCAUGGUCUCUGCUGAUAAGUUAAGCCUGUUCUGGUCUAUCUUCUGGAGUUCUGAGUCCCAUUGUAGUAGUUUUGGAAAGUUUUCAUGUCUCUAGGCAUCAGUACUUAUAGUUCAUCUUACCUUCUUUUUCCAAACAAAUUUUACAUUCUAAAAUGUUAAUUGUUGAAGGACUGCUGCAUAUAUGAAUAUACAGAGACUGUGACAAUAUAGCAAAAACCUGUACAAGUUCAAGUCAGAUAGAAUCCCAGCAAGGAGAAGGGGGGUGAACACAGAGUCCCACUCCAAACCAAAAAGCUGUUUGCAAUUAAUAGCUGCUGGAAGAGGGAGAAGUGGUGUUCCUUGGGGGCGGGGGUGUGAUACCAGAUAUAAUACCAGCCCACUCAGUGCCUGGCCUCAUGCUCAGGGGUAGUUGGUCAACACAAAAUGAACUGUAUGUAUGUUUGUGCUUUGGUUUGGUUUGGUUUGGUUUGGUUUGGUUUGGUUUGGUUUGGUUGCUUUCUAAGAUUUCUAAGAAGGAAUUUGGUGGAUUGGGAGUUGGAGUGGGAUCUGAACAGAGUUAGGGAUGGAAAAAGAAUGUAAUCAAGAUAUUAUAUUGUAUGAUAUUCUCAGAAAAAUAAAUAAAACAUU